UGCGUAGGCGGCUUUGUAAGUCAGGAGUGAAAGUUUGCGGCUCAACCGUAAAAUUGCUUUUGAUACUGCAUCGCUAGAAUUAGGAUGAGGUCAGCGGAAUGUGGCAUGUAGCGGUGAAAUGCAUAGAUAUGCCAUAGAACACCAAUUGCGAAGGCAGCUGGCUAGACCUAUAUUGACGCUGAGGCACGAAAGCGUGGGGAGCGAACAGGAUUAGAUACCCUGGUAGUC
RNAcentral lists this ribosomal RNA (228 nucleotides) under uncultured bacterium. RNAcentral's name for it is "partial 16S ribosomal RNA". It matches the Rfam family "Bacterial small subunit ribosomal RNA", at positions 568 to 795 of the family's 1533-position model. The record is from RNAcentral.